AUUAGCUAGUUGGUGAGGUAAUGGCUCACCAAGGCGACGAUCCCUAGCUGGUCUGAGAGGAUGAUCAGCCACACUGGAACUGAGACACGGUCCAGACUCCUACGGGAGGCAGCAGUGGGGAAUAUUGCACAAUGGGCGCAAGCCUGAUGCAGCCAUGCCGCGUGUAUGAAGAAGGCCUUCGGGUUGUAAAGUACUUUCAGCAGUGAGGAAGGUGGUGUCGUUAAUAGCGGGCAUAUUUGACGUUAGCUGCAGAAGAAGCACCGGCUAACUCCGUGCCAGCAGCCGCGGUAAUACGGAGGGUGCGAGCGUUAAUCGGAAUUACUGGGCGUAAAGCGCAUGCAGGUGGUUUGUUAAGUCAGAUGUGAAAGCCCGGGGCUCAACCUCGGAAUUGCAUUUGAAACUGGCAGACUAGAGUACUGUAGAGGGGGGUAGAAUUUCAGGUGUAGCGGUGAAAUGCGUAGAGAUCUGAAGGAAUACCGGUGGCGAAGGCGGCCCCCUGGACAGAUACUGACACUCAGAUGCGAAAGCGUGGGGAGCAAACAGGAUUAGAUACCC
RNAcentral lists this ribosomal RNA (555 nucleotides) under Vibrio maritimus. RNAcentral describes it as "bacterial SSU rRNA". It matches the Rfam family "Bacterial small subunit ribosomal RNA", at positions 240 to 787 of the family's 1533-position model. Lineage: Bacteria; Pseudomonadati; Pseudomonadota; Gammaproteobacteria; Vibrionales; Vibrionaceae. The record is from RNAcentral.